GACAGAGGGUGCAAACGUUGUUCGGAAUUACUGGGCGUAAAGCGCACGCAGGCGGUCUGCUAAGUUUGGAGUGACAGUUGGUGGCUUAACUGCCAAAGUGCUUCGAAAACUGACAGACUUGAGGGCUUCAGAGGGACACGGAAUUCCGGGUGGAGUGGUGAAAUGCGCAGAUAUCGGGAAGAACACCCGUGGCGAAGGCGGCUCUCUGGGACGGUACUGACGCUGAGACGCGAAAGCGUGGGGAGCGAACAGG
This 253-nucleotide ribosomal RNA is filed under the name uncultured bacterium. RNAcentral's name for it is "partial 16S ribosomal RNA". It matches the Rfam family "Bacterial small subunit ribosomal RNA", at positions 524 to 776 of the family's 1533-position model. The record is from RNAcentral.